RNAcentral lists this ribosomal RNA (481 nucleotides) under uncultured bacterium. RNAcentral describes it as "partial 16S ribosomal RNA". It matches the Rfam family "Bacterial small subunit ribosomal RNA", at positions 28 to 507 of the family's 1533-position model. The record is from RNAcentral.
GACGAACGCUGGCGGCGUGCUUAACACAUGCAAGUCGAACGGGAUCCGGGCUUUCGGGUUUGGUGAGAGUGGCGAACGGGUGAGUAACACGUGAGUAACCUGCCCCCUUCUUUGGGAUAACGUCGGGAAAUCGGCGCUAAUACUGGAUAUUCUUGCUGCAUCGCAUGGUGUGGUUUGGAAAGGGUUUCUGGUGGGGGAUGGGCUCGCGGCCUAUCAGCUUGUUGGUGGGGUGAUGGCCUACCAAGGCUUUGACGGGUAGCCGGCCUGAGAGGGUGUCCGGCCACACUGGGACUGAGACACGGCCCAGACUCCUACGGGAGGCAGCAGUGGGGAAUAGUGCACAAUGGGCGCAAGCCUGAUGCAGCGACGCCGCGUGAGGGAUGACGGCCUUCGGGUUGUAAACCUCUUUCAGUAUGGAACAAGGAUCCUUCUUGUGGGGGGUUUGAGGGUACGUGCAGAAGAAGCGCCGGCUAACUACGUG